AUUGAACGCUGGCGGCAGGCCUAACACAUGCAAGUCGAGCGAGCGGCGGACGGGUGAGUAAUGUAUGGGGACUGCCCGAUAGAGGGGGAAAACUACUGGAAACGGUGGAUAAAACCGCAUAUUGUCGGAUAACCCAUAUGGGAUUAGCUAGUAGUUAAGGUAAUGGCUUACCUGGGCGACGAUCCCUAGCUGGUCUGAGAGGAUGUUCAGCCACACUGGGACUGAGACAAUGCCCAGACUCCUACGGAGGCAGCAGUGGGGAAUAUGGCACAAUGGGCGCAAGCCUGAGGCAGCCAUGCCGCGUGUAUGAAGAAGGCCCUAGGGUUGUAAAGUACUUUCAGUCGGGAGGCGUUACCGACAGAAGAAGCACCGGCUAACUCCGUGCCAGCAGCCGCGGUAAUAC
RNAcentral lists this ribosomal RNA (403 nucleotides) under uncultured bacterium. RNAcentral's name for it is "partial 16S ribosomal RNA". It matches the Rfam family "Bacterial small subunit ribosomal RNA", at positions 30 to 526 of the family's 1533-position model. The record is from RNAcentral.